UUAAGACAAAUUGGUCAGAGGGAACUGAGGUAAUCUCUUAUCAAACCUAAAAUGGGAUUGGCAUAUGAAGUUCCCUCCAAUCUCUGGAACAAGAUUCCAUCCAUCCGGGCUUGAACUCCAUCUGAAAAUGAUAGGUCUUGUAGCAGUUCUUUCAAUGUUCUGUCUACUCCUGCUAUUGAACUCCCUAUGCCACUUAAGAUCUCUGGCAGUGUAGGCGAGGGUCUUGACAGUUCAACCAGGGUUACCUGGGCCGUUAAGCAUAGUUGUCAAGAUAGCUCAUACAGAAGAUAGGAAAAUGGAAUUGUACUUCUUCCAGAAUAAGAGAUGUGCAGAUCAUUUGAUUUUAAAUGGAAAAUAAUGAACAAAUAAAUGAGGCCAGUCUCAUAGAUAACCAAAUUCUAGCCAUAAUAUCAAAAAUUUUAAUGGUUACCUCAGGAGAAAGAUCACUAAUGCCGAGCACUUGCAGUUAAGAGAAGAUUUGAGUGAAAAGCAAAUGAGAAGAUCUAUACAGAAGGGCAAAAACAGGGAGUUUCUCUACUUGUUAAGGUGCACAAUAAUGCAUGAUUACAUUACAGGAGGGCUGGGAAGGGAGGCUUUGUCGGCAACUCAGCUGGUGUGGUCAGGGACUAAAAUUCAACACAAAGAGAGACAAGACAACAAACAUCUUGAUCCCUCUUGGAAACCAAAGAGCGAGUAGUGAUUUGAGAAAUAAAAAGCCUCCUUUUUCAUAAACCAUUAUCACCAUAUCAAAAGUACUACUAGAGUCUCAACAAUUAUAAAAAUUUCAGUAGGGAUAAAGCAUCAAUAGUCUGGACAAAAUAAGCAUGACUACGUUAUGUGCUAGACUUCUGAACUAAUCAAUUUGAAGUAAGCUUGGGUAAUUAACAAAUAUAGUAAUCAGCAUUCUUUUCUUAAACAGAAACCAAUCUUGUAAUCAACAUGAAAAAGAAGAUCAAAUUAUGAAGUCAAAACAAACCUGUUUGUCUUGGGGAAUGUUGGCUUUCUGCUUUGCGAUGGCAAUAGCUCGAGAUAGCCCACCAGUAGCAUCAACUAGACCUCGUGAAGCUGCAUCUUUACCAGUCCAGACUCGGCCUUGUGCAACCUCUUCCAUCUUAUCCACCUGGCAGUGCAACGAUGAGGAAUUUUGAAUUUAUUUUUCCUUUUUCUAAUUUCUCCUUGAAUGUUUGCCCCAAAAUAAAUAAACUUAAUUUUGAAAUGAAUGCUAAAAAAAUUACAGCCAUUGAUCUUGAAAAUGCUGCCUUGUCUCGAAAUUGCUUAUAUGCAUUUUGAGCUGACCUAGCAAAAAGUUCUGCUUCAUCUGGUCUGGAAAAUUAAGUCUGGUUAGUUUCCUUCAGGUAGCAUGGCAAAUGGAAACAUAAUUCAAAGAAGAAAUGCAAGAUUUGGGAACCAUCCAAUCAAAUAAGGAAGCCUUCAAUAGUCAAGACAACAAAGUCAGGCAUGGGAUCCACAGGCAUACAUCUCAUCCAACUUGAGUUUUAACCUCUUGUAAAUUAUAGAUCCACAAUUCUGUUUUAAAAGAACUUGUAUUAAGAAAUACAACAAGGUCUCUCACCUCAUAGGUCGUUGUUCAGCUGCAAGGAGCUCAGCAUAUUUACCUCUUGAUAUAAUUUCCUUGUUGAAGCCAAUCCUUUCAUAUAGUUUCCCAAGGUUAAACUUCCCUAUAAAUUAUCCACCAUUUCAAGGAAUUAAAUACUAACAAAAUAAUGCAGAAAGCUUUAUUUAGCAACUUAAAAUAGGUUAAUUUCUUAUCUUUUAUUUUUUAUUCCUUUUUCCUUCUCUUUUUCUAAUUUGUUCUACAAAUAAAGUAAUUUCUUCAUUGUUGGCUACCCUGAACACAAGUUCAAAAUCAAGGUUUUGCAGAAGCAUUUUAAUUAAUAAACCAGCCUGGCUCAAUAAACAAUUUAAGAAUCCACACACCUAACCUGCAAUUUUUCCUCUUUCUUGCAUGCCUAAACUGUUCCAUGUCAUAGUAUGUCAUUGUCUUCUUUUUUUAGGAAAUAAAAGAAAAGAUUUUCUUCAAGAGAAGGCAGCAUCUUCAUACUUACAGAGAUGUUUUCAUUUUCAUACUUGCACAGAUUUUUCAACAUUUACUUUUACCUGUAACAACUCCAAUAGAGCCAGUUAAGGUUAAAUUUUCCGCAACAAUAGCCCCUGCUGCCAUUGCCAUAUAGUAUCCUCCACUCGCAGCCACAUCAGACAUAGACGCAAUCACUGGUUUUUUUUCAGCCAAAAGCCGGAUUUCCCUCCACAUUAAAUCAGAAGCAAGGGCAUCACCUCCAGGGCUGUCAAUCCGAAUAAUAACAGCUUUAUAUCUUUUCGUCUCUCUUACUUGUUGAAUCUUCUCAAUGAAUUGCUCCCCAAUGAUACCAGAGCUUGGUAAACUUAAUGGACUCCGUACACGACUAAUGCUCCCAGAGGCCCUGAUCACAGCAAUUUGGUCCUUACCACCAGUUAAACCAAGUGUCCAAUUCCUCACUCGCGAGUAUUUCCCGUAGUCAACCAUAGGAAGAAUUUUAUCCUUUUCGACUCCGAGUUUCUCUUUCAACAUUGAGAUAACCUCAUCAUCAUAGCAUAUAUUUGUUAUCAAGCCUUCUUCUUUCAGCCUUUCUACUUUGUAGACUCCUUCACUGAUGAAGUUCUCGAGUUGUUCUAUUUUUUUUCCUUUUGCAGAAGAAAUGUUUUCCAGCCAAUUCCCAUAGAUGUUAUCAAGCAAUGUUGUCAGCAUCUCACAAUUUUCUUCAGACAUAGAUUUCCGUGUAAGCUGAUCCCCAGCACUUUUGUAUUUACCAAUCCUUUGCACUUCUGGUUGAAUUCCUACAUUCUCAAGAACUCCUCCAAGAAAUGAUGCUUGAACUGUCAAUCCAUAUAAAGAAAAAUAAGCACUUGGAGGGACAUAUAUCUCAUCGCAGGCACAAGCAAGAUAAUACUCUUUCUCUCUACAAACAGGGAUAUAGCAAACAACGAAUUUACCUGCAGAUAUCAUAAAACAUUAAAAGCUAAUCGCCAUCACCCAUCCUUGCAAGAAAAUGUCUACGAGAAUUUGGCAGUUCAUAAUGAAAUACUUAAACUAAAACAACAAAGUAGCUAUUAGUAUAAAAUGGCAUCAAGUACAAUUAAAAUAUAAAAAAAAUGAUAACAUGAAGGAUACAAAAUGUCUUAGAUGUCCUAAGAAGCCUUUCAUAUUAGCAUCCCACACCAGUGGGCUCUGGAGCCUUACCCUGCCUUGCAGAGAAAGAGAGGCGGUUUCUGUGGCUCGAACCCCCAAUUGUGGAAUGCUUUGUGCACUAGGUCACCUUUUAUAACAAAUGGGUAAAAGUCCAAGCCUACCUGAUUGCUUGAAAUUCAAUAUGUGUCUCUGAAUCUCUUCAACUUUACCCCACCCACAAUUCAAGGGCUCUAUGUGGAGAUAAAUGCCAGAAAUACGAGGAUCAUAUGCAGCUUUUAUGAAAUUUUCACAAAUCUGAGGUAAGGAUAGCCCUGAGGAGAAACGGCUCUUUAGCUGAUCAGAUAUCUGGCCGCGCAAUUUCAUAGUCAAGACACUGCCUUUGCGAACGCGUUCCCAAGGGAAAGCGAUUAGCAUCCGAAGCUUGACAAGAAAACGAUUCCAAGAUCCAAAUUCCUUAAACUGAAACUCUCCAGUCGGAUAAUCCUCUUUAAAAUUCUUAAGGGUUCCAUCUUCAGAGUCGGAAUCGUUCUUCUCUAAUGUUUUAUCUUCCUGCUGAGUUUUAGACUCUGAGGAGGAAUCGAAGGCCCGAGCAGACAAAUUUCUGGAGAGAAAGAAAGAAGGAAAGGAAGGGAGGAGAGAGUGAUGGGUUAGGAGAUGGAGAUGACGAGUGUUGGAAUGGAGAGGAAGGGGAGAGGGAGAGAGGCAGAGAUAAGGUUUUGAGAGGACGGAAGUGAUGGUUCGGCGAUAGACUGGAGUGAAGUGAGGAGAGUGGAUGAGCAGUAGCUUCGACAUUGUCCAGACGAGAGAGAGAGAGAGAGAGAGGG
RNAcentral lists this unclassified non-coding RNA (4011 nucleotides) under Hevea brasiliensis (rubber tree). Lineage: Eukaryota; Viridiplantae; Streptophyta; Magnoliopsida; Malpighiales; Euphorbiaceae. The record is from RNAcentral.